GUCUAUGGCUAUACACCCUGAAUGCGCCCAAUCUCGUCUGAUCUUGGAAGCUAAGCAGGGUCAGGUCUGGUUAGUACUUGGAUGGGAGAAAUAGGAAAAUAGUAUACAUAGACA
This 114-nucleotide ribosomal RNA is filed under the name Neogale vison (American mink). The record is from RNAcentral. Lineage: Eukaryota; Metazoa; Chordata; Mammalia; Carnivora; Mustelidae.